AGUUCUCCCUGAGACUUUAAGUCUCCUGAAGGAACGUUGAAGACGACGACGUUGAUAGGCCGGGUGUGUAAGCGCAGCGAUGCGUUGAGCUAACCGGUACUAAUGAACCGUGAGGCUUAACCUUACAACGCCGAAGGUGUUU
RNAcentral lists this ribosomal RNA (142 nucleotides) under Escherichia coli. RNAcentral describes it as "partial 23S ribosomal RNA". The stretch from base 1 to 124 matches the Rfam family "Bacterial large subunit ribosomal RNA", at positions 2807 to 2925 of the family's 2925-position model. Lineage: Bacteria; Pseudomonadati; Pseudomonadota; Gammaproteobacteria; Enterobacterales; Enterobacteriaceae. The record is from RNAcentral.